RNAcentral lists this long non-coding RNA (523 nucleotides) under Nicotiana benthamiana. RNAcentral's name for it is "long non-coding RNA (NBEN_LNC019039)". The record is from RNAcentral. Lineage: Eukaryota; Viridiplantae; Streptophyta; Magnoliopsida; Solanales; Solanaceae.
UUAAUCCAAUUGCCAUAAUUAAUUCCACCCAUCACAAAUAAACCAAAACUCACUUCAAACCCUAAACCCAAAACUUAGACUCACCCCACCUCCCUUAGCUGAAAAUAUAGCUCCAAAACCCAGCAAAAUCACCUGCAAAAAGCUCUUCAAACACUGCAAUCUGGAAAAAUGUAGCAGAUGUGGCUUCUCCAUUCCACUCCUUAAAUCAGUUCUGAAGCCAUGUAAAUGCAGUUUUACUAGUUCACUGCCUUGCCGGCGUUUCUUUGAGUUUCGCCGUAUCCGUCCAGUUUUCUUUCACUAUAAACGCAACUGCUCCACCUUCACUAACCGUUGUUGAACUCAGUCCGUCAAGGUCGUCGAGGUCCCUCGGUGCGAGGUUUUUUUUUGGUUUGUGAUUCGGAUAGUGUUUGAGUUAUAUCGAUACUCUCUUCUUUGAUAUAUUCAGAGAGAUUCAAUAUGUAAUCAAAUUCAAAGCUUCUAUUCAUUUAAAGGUUAGCUUCUGUUUGCUAGCAUUUUGAUACUA